This 227-nucleotide unclassified non-coding RNA is filed under the name uncultured Pseudozyma. Its description in RNAcentral is "sequence contains ITS1". The record is from RNAcentral. Lineage: Eukaryota; Fungi; Basidiomycota; Ustilaginomycetes; Ustilaginales; Ustilaginaceae.
CGAUGAAAACCUUUUUUCUUGAGGUGUGGCUCGCACCUGUCUAACUAAAUCGAGCUACCACAUUUUAACACGGUUGCAUCGGUUGGCUGUCAAACAGUGCGCGCGGCGAUUUAUUUCGCCCUGCGCUACUGCGAGACGGUCGACAUUUACCAAAAACACUGUUGAUACCAUAGGAUUUGAACGUAGAUGAAACUCGACUGGUAAUGCGGUCGUCUAAAAUCUAAAAA